AACGAACGCUGGCGGCAGGCCUAACACAUGCAAGUCGAGGGAGAAACUAUCUUCGGAUAGCGGAGACCGGCAGACGGGUGAGUAACACGUGGGAACAUACCAAGUACUGGGGGAUAACAGUUGGAAACGACUGCUAAUACCGCAUACGCCCUUCGGGGGAAAGAUUUAUCGGUAUUUGAUUGGCCCGCGUUAGAUUAGCUAGUUGGUAAGGUAACGGCUUACCAAGGCGACGAUCUAUAGCUGGUUUGAGAGGAUGAUCAGCCACACUGGGACUGAGACACGGCCCAGACUCCUACGGGAGGCAGCAGUGGGGAAUAUUGCGCAAUGGAGGAAACUCUGACGCAGCCAUGCCGCGUGAGUGAAGAAGGCCCUAGGGUUGUAAAACUCUUUCAGACGCGAUGAUGAUGACAGUAACGUCAAAAGAAGUUCCGGCUAACUUCG
RNAcentral lists this ribosomal RNA (441 nucleotides) under uncultured Thalassospira sp. RNAcentral describes it as "bacterial SSU rRNA". It matches the Rfam family "Bacterial small subunit ribosomal RNA", at positions 29 to 505 of the family's 1533-position model. The record is from RNAcentral. Lineage: Bacteria; Pseudomonadati; Pseudomonadota; Alphaproteobacteria; Rhodospirillales; Thalassospiraceae.